This is a long non-coding RNA of Dermacentor andersoni, 198 nucleotides long. RefSeq lists it as uncharacterized. Lineage: Eukaryota; Metazoa; Arthropoda; Arachnida; Ixodida; Ixodidae. The record is from RefSeq and is a predicted model, not a curated record.
CAUAGGUCCUACAUAGUUUCGGGGUUUAAUUUCGCGCGCUUUCUCAGAUAGUUUGUAUAGUUGGGCUCGUGGAGCAAGCCUGCGUUUCAAUCGAAGAGCUUACGGUUGGCGGGAAGCGCGCCAUGGAAAACGAAGACGAAACUGUACUGCACAGACCAGCAUCUAUGCCAUUCUAUAGAAGGCAGGUAGAAGCGCCUG